UACGGCGGAACACGAGAAAUUCCGUCGGAAUCCGCGGGGACCAUCCCGCAAGGCUAAAUACUCCCUAGUGACCGAUAGUGAACCAGUACCGUGAGGGAAAGGUGAAAAGCACCCCGGAAGGGGAGUGAAAUAGAUCCUGAAACCGUGUGCCUACAACAAGUCAAAGCUCGUUAAUGAGUGAUGGCGUGCCUUUUGUAGAAUGAACCGGCGAGUUACGAUUGCAUGCGAGGUUAAGUCGAAGAGACGGAGCCGCAGCGAAAGCGAGUCUGAAUAGGGCGAAUGAGUAUGUAGUCGUAGACCCGAAACCAUGUGAUCUACCCAUGUCCAGGUUGAAGGUGCGGUAAAACGCACUGGAGGACCGAACCCACGUACGUUGAAAAGUGCGGGGAUGAGGUGUGGGUAGCGGAGAAAUUCCAAACGAACUUGGAGAUAGCUGGUUCUCUCCGAAAUAGCUUUAGGGCUAGCCUCGGAAUUGAGAAUGAUGGAGGUAGAGCACUGUUUGGACUAGGGGCCCAUCUCGGGUUACCGAAUUCAGAUAAACUCCGAAUGCCAUUCAUUUAUAUCCGGGAGUCAGACUGCGAGUGAUAAGAUCCGUAGUCGAAAGGGAAACAGCCCAGACCACCAGCUAAGGUCCCAAAAUAUAUGUUAAGUGGAAAAGGAUGUGGGGUUGCACAGACAACUAGGAUGUUGGCUUAGAAGCAGCCACCAUUUAAAGAGUGCGUAA
This 724-nucleotide ribosomal RNA is filed under the name Enterococcus faecalis. Its description in RNAcentral is "partial 23S ribosomal RNA". It matches the Rfam family "Bacterial large subunit ribosomal RNA", at positions 413 to 1137 of the family's 2925-position model. The record is from RNAcentral. Lineage: Bacteria; Bacillati; Bacillota; Bacilli; Lactobacillales; Enterococcaceae.